Molecule: transfer RNA, 84 nt
Filed under: Verrucomicrobiota bacterium
Lineage: Bacteria; Pseudomonadati; Verrucomicrobiota
Also listed under: 4 other names
Description: Verrucomicrobia bacterium (activated sludge metagenome) tRNA-Leu
Rfam family: tRNA
About the family: Transfer RNA (tRNA) molecules are approximately 80 nucleotides in length. Their secondary structure includes four short double-helical elements and three loops (D, anti-codon, and T loops).
Source: RNAcentral
GCUCGGAUGGUGGAAUGGUAGACACUGGGGACUUAAAAUCCCCUGCGUUAAUAGCGCGUGCAGGUUCGACUCCUGUUCCGAGCA